UAUGCGUUUUUGGGUCGAUAGCCGAGGUGGUACUAUGUUUUUCUUGAUCCAAUAGGUCGGUGGAAUAUCUCGAACGAAAGAGUCCUUAUUUGGCUCCAGCAGGGGGGCGGGCGCCUAGGCUACCAGGGCGGGCGCCCUGGGCCUGGCCCAGUUUCGCCUCCGCUUCGGUCUCGUGGCUUCUGGAGUCUUCUAGAUGAUGUAAAAUUACGCGGUGCGUUGAUAUCUCCAUGUAAUCCUGACAUGUGGGCCUUUCUUCCUUAUUUCCUGAUAACCCCCUGCAGAAAUAGAUAAACAACAAAACUCAUGGAAUUCUGUCAGAUCAAACCCUAAUUCUAGGUGUUGUUUGCAUAUUGGUCCUUUCUCAUGUUUAUUUGAUAAUUAAAAUUGAUACUUAAGAACCGUCAACACUAGACUUUGAGCCACACAUUUACUUUUUACUGCUUAUGAGCAUUGAGUGUGGUCAAGCUGUGUAGACCCUUAGGAGCUUGUCAUGUGGUUAAAAUCAAGAUUCACUUGCACGUUCACUCACACAUGCUACUUCUACUCCGGAAGUACGCAUCCACAUACAUCCACUCACUUCCAUCUCCAGAGCCAUCCAAAAGUAUUCUACUCCUAAUCUGGGAGAGAGUAGCCAAAAACAUUUCUAUUUUUCCCUGUGAAAUAACUGCUUGAGUUAUCUUGGUUACUACCACUUGCUAUAUUAUUUCAGGAGAUGAGUGCUUUAAAAAAAGAAGAAAAAAAAGAGAGAAAGAAUACGAGGAAAUAAAAAGGGGCAAGUGCCCGGAACCUCGAAAAAAAGAAAAAGUGAGACGAGAGGUAAAAAUUGUCUGACAGUAAAAUUAGGGGUACAAGAUACCACCUAAGGAAAGAAAAAGAAAAUAUAGAGAAUCUCAUUCUCCUCAAAAAGCUUCAAAGUGCAAGAAAGGUAUGUAUCCCCUUAAAAGAGCAAAAGUAUAAUUAGAUUUUCACCAUUGUUAUCACCAUACACCAUUCACUCGCCACACAUGCACAUCUUGAUUUGACUUAUUGACUUGUUCUUCUGGAUCCAUGGUUUGACUAUGCAAUAAAUGUCUUAUAAGUAUGUAUUAUCUGUCUCCCACCUAUGAGCUCCAGAUAUCAAAACCUUAUUAGAGUAGGGUGAGAGAGAAGGCAAUAUCACUAUGCCUCAUACCAAAAACAUCACUUACUUUGAGAGAAGGCAUAUACCAUUACUGCCAUGGAAAGGAUCUAGAAAUACCACAAAAGAGAGAUUUGAGAGAAUCAGAUAAGGAAUCUCUGAGUUUUAUUUGAAAAUCUGCAAAAACUCUAGAGCUAUAGCUGAUCAAGAACAAGAGACAUGGCGCUUGACUAGACUGUUCUAUCUUUUAACUGCUCAAGACACAAGUGACGAUUGCAAGCCCCAUGGUGAAAGGUAAAACAAGUAAGUUUUAAGUCUUAACAGUUUACUCUAACUGAGAGAUGAGAUCUUGCUUGAAGGCAUGUGUACUUUUAAGGCAUGAAACCACUGCAGGAACUUUUGAGUCUAUCCUUGCUCAGGGACGAGCAAGAGGUAAGCUUGGGGGAGUUUGUUGACAGUCCUUAAGUACCAAAUAUAAUCAUCAAAUAAAUAAAGAAAAGGAUCCAAAUGCAACCAACACCCAGGCUUAGGGUUAUAUCUGACAGAAUUCCACGAGUUUUAUUGUUUGUCUAUUUCUGUAGGGGGUUAUCAGGAAAUAUGGAGGAAAGGCCCACACGUCGGGUUUACGUAAAGAUAUUAACGUGCCGCGUAAUUUUCUAUCAUCUAGAAGAGUCUAGAAGCCACGGGAAGGAACGGGAGGCCGAACGGGCCCAGGGGCUUGGCGCUCGCCGUCCCCCCUUGGGCGCCCGCCCUGGUACAAGCACCAAUCACAGAAUGGAUUACACCAUUACAAAGAUCUCGUCGAGCUGAUCGAAAUGCAUAUAUUAUUUGCUAUAUUUGGAGUUCGGAAUCAAGAGAUAUUAAUAAAAGAAGGACUCUACAUAAAAGAGCUGCGGGAUUAAUUGGGCUCAAAUCAGAUUUUGGUCCAUUAAGGCCUAUGUGCAUUUUAAUGAGAUAUGGUGGAAAGUUUAGUACCACAUCGCCCGCUGAACCAAAAAGGCACAAAAGGAGGAGGCUAUAUAAGCAAGGCCCCUGGCC
RNAcentral lists this long non-coding RNA (2155 nucleotides) under Sorghum bicolor (sorghum). RNAcentral describes it as "long non-coding RNA (SBIC_LNC014019)". The record is from RNAcentral. Lineage: Eukaryota; Viridiplantae; Streptophyta; Magnoliopsida; Poales; Poaceae.